UCUAAUAUGGCAGACAAGUGCAAUGGAUUUAAGCUCCAUAUAUAAAGGCCUAUACCUUUUGUUAGAA
This 67-nucleotide transfer RNA is filed under the name Mesonemoura metafiligera. RNAcentral's name for it is "tRNA-Leu". The record is from RNAcentral. Lineage: Eukaryota; Metazoa; Arthropoda; Insecta; Plecoptera; Nemouridae. RNAcentral also lists the same sequence under 4 other names.